GUACUGCUGAAGAGUCCCAUACUAGGACGAAACUUCAGUCCAGUGC
RNAcentral lists this non-coding RNA (46 nucleotides) under Schistosoma margrebowiei. The record is from RNAcentral. Lineage: Eukaryota; Metazoa; Platyhelminthes; Trematoda; Strigeidida; Schistosomatidae.